RNAcentral lists this ribosomal RNA (776 nucleotides) under uncultured Neocallimastigales. Its description in RNAcentral is "partial large subunit ribosomal RNA". It matches the Rfam family "Eukaryotic large subunit ribosomal RNA", at positions 22 to 639 of the family's 3401-position model. The record is from RNAcentral. Lineage: Eukaryota; Fungi; Neocallimastigomycota; Neocallimastigomycetes; Neocallimastigales.
GUACACGCUGUGACUAGCAUAUCAAUAAGCGGAGGAAAAGAAACUAACAAGGAUUCCCCUAGUAACGGCGAGUGAAGCGGGAAGAGCUCAAAUCUGAAAUCUUAAAGGGUUUCCCUUUACGAAUUGUAGUUUAAAGAAGUGUUUUCUGUUGAGGUUUUGGUAAAAGUUCUUUGGAAUAGGACAUCAUAGAGGGUGAGGAAUCCCGUAUUUGACCUUUACUUUCAACUUUGUGAUACACUUUCAAAGAGUCGGAUUGUUUGGGAAUGCAGUCCAAAAUGGGUGGUAAAUUUCAUCUAAAGCUAAAUAUUGGCGAGAGACCGAUAGCGAACAAGUACCGUGAGGGAAAGAUGAAAAGAACUUUGAAAAGAGAGUUAAACAGUACGUGAAAUUGUCAAAAGGGAAGCGUUUGACACCAGUGUUGUUUUUCUGAAAAUCAAUUAAAGAACUGUUUAUGCUAAGCUGUUUAGACUUUAUCUAGCUAUCUGUUUAGUUUUGAGCUUUUCUUUAAUGCACUUUUCAGUUAACAAGUCAACAUCAAUUUCUUUUGCUGUAAAAAAGCUUGAGGAAGGUGGCUUGAGAUUCGUCUUAAGUGUUUAUAGCCUCUUGCCUAUGCAGUCGGAGAGAUUGAGGUCUGCAGCGUAGAUCCUUCGGGGCUAAACGCAUUUGUGCUAAGUUAUAGCAUUUUAUAGACAACUUGUUGACUAUGAUUUGUCUUGUAGCUUACUCGCUUAUGUUAUUUUACCUACGCUUAGGAUGUUGACGCGCGUGUGUGCGUG